Molecule: ribosomal RNA, 405 nt
Filed under: Alexandrium tamarense
Lineage: Eukaryota; Dinophyceae; Gonyaulacales; Pyrocystaceae
Description: partial Bacterial large subunit ribosomal RNA
Rfam family: Bacterial large subunit ribosomal RNA
Source: RNAcentral
UCGAGUCGUCCUGCGCGGAAGAUGUACCGGGGCUAAACAUACCACCGAAGCUGCGGCAGCAUGUUUACAUGCUGGGUAGGGGAGCGUUGUGUAAGUGGCUGAAGGUGAGUCGAGAGGCUUGCUGGACAUAUCACAAGUGCGAAUGCUGACAUGAGUAACGAUAAAGGGGGUGAAAAACCCCCUCGCCAGAAGUCCAAGGUUUCCUACGCAACGUUAAUCGGCGUAGGGUUAGUCGGCCCCUAAGGCGAGGCAGAAAUGCGUAGUCGAUGGGAAACGGGUUAAUAUUCCCGUACUUGGAAUAAUUGCGAUGGGGGGACGGAGCAGGCUAAACAAGCAUGGCGUUGGUUGUCCAUGUGAAAGUAUGUAGGCUGGAAUCUUAGGUAAAUCCGGGAUUCUAAGGCUGAG